AUUGAACGCUGGCGGCAUGCUUUACACAUGCAAGUCGAACGGUAACAGGCCUUCGGGUGCUGACGAGUGGCGAACGGGUGAGUAAUGCAUCGGAACGUACCCAGAGGUGGGGGAUAACGCAGCGAAAGCUGUGCUAAUACUGCAUGUGAUCUGAGGAUGAAAGCGGGGGACCGAGCAGCAAUGUUUGGCCUCGCGCCUUUGGAGCGGCCGAUGUCGGAUUAGCUAGUUGGUGGGGUAAAGGCCUACCAAGGCGACGAUCCGUAGCUGGUCUGAGAGGACGACCAGCCAAACUGGGACUGAGACACGGCCCAGACUCCUACGGGAGGCAGCAGUGGGGAAUUUUGGACAAUGGGCGCAAGCCUGAUCCAGCAAUGCCGCGUGCGGGAAGAAGGCCUUCGGGUUGUAAACCGCUUUUGGCAGGAACGAAACGGUGUCCGCUAAUACCGGGCGCUAAUGACGGUACCUGCAGAAUAAACACCGGCUAACUACGU
This 491-nucleotide ribosomal RNA is filed under the name uncultured bacterium. RNAcentral's name for it is "partial 16S ribosomal RNA". It matches the Rfam family "Bacterial small subunit ribosomal RNA", at positions 30 to 506 of the family's 1533-position model. The record is from RNAcentral.